This 253-nucleotide ribosomal RNA is filed under the name uncultured bacterium. RNAcentral's name for it is "partial 16S ribosomal RNA". It matches the Rfam family "Bacterial small subunit ribosomal RNA", at positions 524 to 776 of the family's 1533-position model. The record is from RNAcentral.
UACGUAGGGUGCGAGCGUUAAUCGGAAUUACUGGGCGUAAAGCGUGCGCAGGCGGUUGUGCAAGACAGCGGUGAAAUCCCCGGGCUUAACCUGGGAAUGGCCUUUGUGACUGCACGGCUAGAGUGUGUCAGAGGGAGGUAGAAUUCCACGUGUAGCAGUGAAAUGCGUAGAUAUGUGGAGGAAUACCGAUGGCGAAGGCAGCCUCCUGGGAUAACACUGACGCUCAUGCACGAAAGCGUGGGGAGCAAACAGG